This 484-nucleotide ribosomal RNA is filed under the name uncultured bacterium. Its description in RNAcentral is "partial 16S ribosomal RNA". It matches the Rfam family "Bacterial small subunit ribosomal RNA", at positions 30 to 507 of the family's 1533-position model. The record is from RNAcentral.
AUUGAACGCUGGCGGCAGGCCUAACACAUGCAAGUCGAGCGGAUGAAGGGAGCUUGCUCCUGGAUUCAGCGGCGGACGGGUGAGUAAUGCCUAGGAAUCUGCCUGGUAGUGGGGGAUAACGUCCGGAAACGGGCGCUAAUACCGCAUACGUCCUGAGGGAGAAAGUGGGGGAUCUUCGGACCUCACGCUAUCAGAUGAGCCUAGGUCGGAUUAGCUAGUUGGUGGGGUAAAGGCCUACCAAGGCGACGAUCCGUAACUGGUCUGAGAGGAGGAUCAGUCACACUGGAACUGAGACACGGUCCAGACUCCUACGGGAGGCAGCAGUGGGGAAUAUUGGACAAUGGGCGAAAGCCUGAUCCAGCCAUGCCGCGUGUGUGAAGAAGGUCUUCGGAUUGUAAAGCACUUUAAGUUGGGAGGAAGGGCAGUAAGUUAAUACCUUGCUGUUUUGACGGUACCAACAGAAUAAGCACCGGCUAACUUCGUG